CCCUUAGAUGGUCUGGGCGGCACGCGCGCUACAAUGAUGCAUUCAAAAAGUCUUCUGACCUUAGAAGGUUGGGUAUUCUCCAAAGUGCACCGUGAUGGGAAUAGUUUAUUGCAAUUUUUAAUCUUGAACGAGGAAUUCCUAGUAAGUACAGGUCAUCAACUUGUGUUGAUUACGUCCCUGCCCUUUGUACACACCGCCCGUCGCUCCUACUGAUUGAGUGUCUCGGUGAAUUCUUUGAUCUUCUGUCGAUUCAGUUCACUGAUCCGACGGUGGAAAGUUGAAUGAACUUCGUCACUUAGAGGAAGGAGAAGUCGUAACA
This 319-nucleotide ribosomal RNA is filed under the name uncultured eukaryote. Its description in RNAcentral is "partial 18S ribosomal RNA". It matches the Rfam family "Eukaryotic small subunit ribosomal RNA", at positions 1470 to 1796 of the family's 1831-position model. The record is from RNAcentral.